RNAcentral lists this ribosomal RNA (358 nucleotides) under uncultured bacterium. Its description in RNAcentral is "bacterial SSU rRNA". It matches the Rfam family "Bacterial small subunit ribosomal RNA", at positions 8 to 353 of the family's 1533-position model. The record is from RNAcentral.
AGAGUUUGAUCAUGGCUCAGGAUGAACGCUAGCUACAGGCUUAACACAUGCGAAGUCGAGGGGAAACGAUAUUGGAAGUCUUGCUUCCGAUAGGCGUCGACCGGCGUACGGGUGAGUAACGCGUAUCCAACCUGCCCACCACUUGGGGAUAACCUUGCGAAAGUAAGACUAAUACCCAAUGACGUCUCUAGAAGACAUCUGAAAGAGAUUAAAGAUUUAUCGGUGAUGGAUGGGGAUGCGUCUGAUUAGCUUGUUGGCGGGGUAACGGCCCACCAAGGCGACGAUCAGUAGGGGUUCUGAGAGGAACGGCCCCCCACAUUGGAACUGAGACACGGUCCAAACUCCUACGGGAGGCGCA